CAGCCGCGGUAAUUCCAGCUCCAAUAGCGUAUAUUAACGUUGUUGCAGUUAAAAAGCUCGUAGUUGAAGUGUGGGUGAUCGCUGUUGUGAGACUUCGGUCUCUCGACAGUAAGUCACCCCCUUCCAGUAUCCAGUAGUGGGUAUUCAGUUACUUACUAUUGUGUGUUGGUCGUUUACUGUGAGAAAAUUAGAGUGUUCAAAGCAGGCGUUUGCUUGAAUAGAUUAGCAUGGAAUAAUAAUUGAAGGCUUUCGUGUUCGAUUUGAUUGGUUUGUUCAUGGAAGCAAGGUUAAAAGGAACAGUUGGGGGUAUUCAUAUUCACUAGUUAGAGGUGAAAUUCUCGGAUUUAUGGAAGAUGAACAAGUGCGAAAGCA
RNAcentral lists this ribosomal RNA (372 nucleotides) under Blastocystis hominis. Its description in RNAcentral is "SSU rRNA". It matches the Rfam family "Eukaryotic small subunit ribosomal RNA", at positions 571 to 953 of the family's 1831-position model. The record is from RNAcentral. Lineage: Eukaryota; Bigyra; Opalinata; Blastocystidae.